Molecule: long non-coding RNA, 1921 nt
Filed under: Triticum aestivum (bread wheat)
Lineage: Eukaryota; Viridiplantae; Streptophyta; Magnoliopsida; Poales; Poaceae
Description: long non-coding RNA (TAES_LNC016577)
Source: RNAcentral
CUCAACAUCACUACAACUUAACUAAAACUUAACAGAGGAACAUCAUUCCUACAACUUAACUAAAAUUGAAAGCAUCCAGCAUCAUAAUCAUCAUCAUUAUCAUCAUCAGUAUAUUUGCCACAUACCCAUAUAAUCAUCCAUUUAUCUUUUGAACCUACAAACAAAAAGCAAAAUGACUGUUAACACACAAUGCAUUAGCAAAAAACCAAAAAAAAACGAAUAACUUUCUGUGGUAAUGUAAGUGUAAUUAGAGAACGUGUAAUACAUUUUGAACAUCUCACAACGGGUCCUGUUAUGUCAUGGAUUCAGAUGAAAAAAAAGAUGGCCACUAUGGGAUGAUAAAACUGGAAACUCAAACUAAAAUAUUCCAAGGAAUAUUUAGAAGGGACCAUGUAUCUAUGUUUCUGUAGAAAGACGCGUUUUGGCUCCUGUAUAUGGAAUGAACACUUAAAAGGAGGACAUUUAUUUUGUUUUGGUGAUAUACAGAAGAUCCAUUGAAAUGUUCUAUAGACAACACAAAAGAGAUGACUGGUUUUUCCGUUUGGUCUACCAUUUUUACACCAUAAAAUGCGAGGCAGACAACCUGGAUUUCUGGUUCAUUUAUGUUGAAGAGUUUCCAAAGAAACCGAUUGUAAGACUUAACAAAUGCAUAUGUACGCAUAUGAAAUACAUGGUAUACAUACUCAUCUAGAAGAUAUAUUUUUCGCGCGUGAUACAUACAUGUAGCUUAAUUGUUUCCCUUUUAAAUAGUAUAUCAAACUCAUGGAUUAAUUAAUAGAUUUAUUUCGCUCGUACUGAUUUGAGAUGGUUUUGCUCUCUUUCGUAUACGGUCAAAACAAAAACAUAGAUUUAGAGCUUAAAAAAACAUAGAUCAUAUACUACACAUACCAAUAUCAAAAAAUGCGUGGCUGUGCAUAUACGUAUUGUAAGCAUCAUUAAUCCUCUUUUAGCUUAGCCCCACUGAAACUAAUCAUAUGAUCCAUGCUCUCCAAACUUAUAUGAGCUCCUCAUCCAUGCAUCAUGCAAAAAGGUGUAAAGUAGUAAAUAAGAUAUUGUCCUAGAAAUCAAACCUCUAGUCCAGUACGUGCGUGUAUAAAAUAGAACAGUAUGAAGCCAAUACCUACACACCUGGAGGCACGGGAUGCAGCCAAAGCGCAGAUGAGAAGUUCAUUCAGCCAUUAUACGUCCUCGGUCGGGGCUCUCAACUUGAUUAUCCUCUUCAUCGCCUGGGCUUUCGUCAGGUGAUCUGUAAUGAUGUGCUCAGUGAGCUUCCUUUUUUUGUUACUGACCUUUUCCUAUUAUGUGAAAAGGAAGAAUUGUGGAAAACAGGUUACACACUUUCAACAUGAAUCAGAAGCAUACAGCAUGAGUCUUUCCUUUAGUAUAUUUUCCAUUAUAUGAGAAUGGAAAUACAUGUAUGCAAGAUCAUAUUUUGUGCUUAACGAAAUAAAUGGAGACUCAACUUAUCUACUCACAAUGCGUGCCUAGUAACUGCACAUGUAUGUAUAACAUAUAUAUGAACUACAACAAACAUACAGUUUAGUAUCAUGGAUUCAGUCAGCGAAUUACAAAAACCAGAUCUUAAUUUCAUAACAGCUCUUCCUAAGCAAGUUCUAGCACCAUAAAUGUUCUUAAUUAUUUAGUACAUCAAUUUAACAAAAGAACGGCAUUAAAACAAACCAAGCAGACAAAUAUAUGAGGAAAGAGGUUAACUUAGAAUCAUUUUUUGAUCUCGCGUGUAGUUUCAAAUAAAUACUGUUACGGUGCCACUGCCACCUUGACCUCCUGAUGCAUAUACCUUCAAGUCUGCAAUAACACUAUCAAAGAUAUUCCAUCUGAACAGAGUAGUUUGUGCUUUUAAGCUGUGGAUCACUGGGUGAGGAUAAAAUUGAAAGAACAUUUCAAGUAAACAAACCCGUAC